AACCCGAGAAAUUAGAAAAUUAUUAAAAUCUUAAAUGAUUGGUUUAAGGUCAAAUAAUAGACCUAGACAGAAAAUAAGUGAAUGUGUUUGAUGUUUUCAGAAAGGAAUUUUGAGCAUUUAAAAUUUCUUUUAGUGAAUUAUUCAGGAUUAAGGGUAUAUGUGUAUAUGUUCAAGAUUACGGUAUCAUGUGUACAGAAUGUGGUUAAGGGUCAAGUGUUGACCAGAUAAAUUAUAUCUGUGUCAAACCCUAAUAGUAUAUAUUAAGAACGUCCACGUUCAGUUAUAAAAUUAUUACGUUUUAUAAGAAACCCUAGAAAUCGGUUCUGGAAACCCUAAUUUCAGUUCCGGGAAUCCGAAACCCUAAUUCGGUAUUUGAAAACCCUAAUCCGAGAAAUUAUCGGAUAAGUAUAAUGCUUAAGUGCUAUUAAUUAUAAUAUUAAUUAGGGUAAAGCUUAAUUAAUUAGCAAACCCUAAUUUCAGAAUUUUUGAACCCUAAUUGUUCUGUUAGGAACCCUAAUGUACAGUUAUGGAAUUAAUUGCUAAACUAGCAAUAUUAAUUAGGAAAUAUUAAUCCUAAUCAGUUAAAGUCAUAAUGUAAUUGAGAAAUUAUAUUAUAAUUUGAGUAUGUUAUGUUAUAUUUUAUAUAAUUUAUAUAUCAAAUAUGGGUUAUAUAAAUUAUAGGAUUCCAAGAGGGUAAAAUAAAUUAAGGAGAUUUAUGUAGUAACUUAUUUGAUUAAAUUAAGUUACUAAGAUUGAGUAAUUAAAUAACUUAAAAAAAUAUGGAAGUGAAUUAUAAAAGUUAAGGGGGAAUUGUGCGAGUUAAGAAAACCUUAGGGUUAAAAAGUUAAUAUUUGAAACUUAAGAAAAUAUCUUAAGGAAUAUGCUAAGGAAUAAAGAAUAUUCUGAGAAUAUGCUAAGAAUAUGCCAAGGGGUGAUUUGCAAGCUUUUAAAGACUAGGGGGAAGACUAGAGAAGAUUUAAGUUGGGUGACUAACUUAUAAAAAAUUGAAAGUAACUUCUAUAUAAGCAAAAUCAAAAUUUACUUAUAUUCAUUUUAGCCAAAUUGGCUAAGUAUAGAGAGAGAGAGAGAGAGAGACAAGAGAGAGAGAAGAUGAGCUAGGAUUAUCAUGUAGCAAGCCAAGAACAACACCCCAAGAUCCAUCUCAUAUCUUUGAAGAAGAAAGAAAAUCAAAGCAAGGUAUAAGAAUUCUUAAACACAAAACUCUAAUUAGUUUAUGUGUUUGAUUUUUGUCAAAAUAAUGAGUUUUGAUCUUCAAAACUCUAGAUCUACAUGAUUUAGAGCGUUUUAUAUGUGGAUCUAUCUAUUUUAUGUUUCAAAAGAUAGAUCAAAAGCAAGAAAAGUGAAGCUAGGUUUUUAAGGUGUAGGAAAUCUUAUUUUUCUUACUCUUGAAUGUGUUUAAUCUUGUAUUUGAUUUUUGGUUAUUUUGAACCAUGAAGUUUAUGAUCCUGAACAUGAGAACUAUAGAUCUACAUGAUAUAUGAUGUUUUAUGGUUAGAUCAUGCCAUUUUUAGGGUCGACAAGCUUGAUCAAGAGAAAGAAAAGCAAAACAGUUUUUUUUAAAAUGAAUUGGUAACUGCUGC
This 1601-nucleotide long non-coding RNA is filed under the name Panax ginseng (ginseng). Its description in RNAcentral is "long non-coding RNA (PGIN_LNC003480)". Lineage: Eukaryota; Viridiplantae; Streptophyta; Magnoliopsida; Apiales; Araliaceae. The record is from RNAcentral.